GUGACAUACCUAUAACUGUUGCUUCGGCGGGUAGGGUCUCCGUGACCCUCCCGGCCUCCCGCCCCCGGGCGGGUCGGCGCCCGCCGGAGGAUAACCAAACUCUGAUUUAACGACGUUUCUUCUGAGUGGUACAAGCAAAUAAUCAAAACUUUUAACAACGGAUCUCUUGGUUCUGGCAUCGAUGAAGAACGCAGCGAAAUGCGAUAAGUAAUGUGAAUUGCAGAAUUCAGUGAAUCAUCGAAUCUUUGAACGCACAUUGCGCCCGCCAGCAUUCUGGCGGGCAUGCCUGUUCGAGCGUCAUUUCAACCCUCAAGCUCUGCUUGGUGUUGGGGCCCUACAGCUGAUGUAGGCCCUCAAAGGUAGUGGCGGACCCUCCCGGAGCCUCCUUUGCGUAGUAACUUUACGUCUCGCACUGGGAUCCGGAGGGACUCUUGCCGUAAAACCCCCAAUUUUCCAAAGGUUGACCUCGGAUCAGGUAGGAAUACCCGCUGAACUUAAGCAUAUCAUA
RNAcentral lists this ribosomal RNA (508 nucleotides) under Colletotrichum gloeosporioides. RNAcentral describes it as "eukaryotic LSU rRNA". The stretch from base 147 to 300 matches the Rfam family "5.8S ribosomal RNA". The record is from RNAcentral. Lineage: Eukaryota; Fungi; Ascomycota; Sordariomycetes; Glomerellales; Glomerellaceae.